Myripristis murdjan (pinecone soldierfish) is the source of this 97-nucleotide small nucleolar RNA. Ensembl annotates it as Z30 small nucleolar RNA. The record is from Ensembl. NCBI's taxonomy places the organism in Eukaryota, Metazoa, Chordata, Actinopteri, Holocentriformes, Holocentridae.
CUGUGAUGAUGACCUACAAUUUAACUGACCUGGUAUUGCUGGCCUUCGGGUCAGCUCUGACCGGGACAUGACUUCAGUUAAUCUUCUCUCUGAGCAG